This 492-nucleotide ribosomal RNA is filed under the name uncultured bacterium. RNAcentral describes it as "partial 16S ribosomal RNA". It matches the Rfam family "Bacterial small subunit ribosomal RNA", at positions 29 to 507 of the family's 1533-position model. The record is from RNAcentral.
AGUGAACGCUGGCGGUAGGCCUAACACAUGCAAGUCGAACGGCAGCACAGUAAGAGCUUGCUCUUACGGGUGGCGAGUGGCGGACGGGUGAGGAAUACAUCGGAAUCUACUUUUUCGUGGGGGAUAACGUAGGGAAACUUACGCUAAUACCGCAUACGACCUACGGGUGAAAGCAGGGGAUCUUCGGACCUUGCGCGAUUGAAUGAGCGGCUGUCGGUUUAGCUAGUUGGCGGGGUAAAGGCCCACCAAGGGGACGAUCCGUAGCCGGUGUGAGAGGAUGGUCACCCACACUGGAGCUGAGACAGGGACCAGGCUCCUACGGGAGGCAGCAGUGGCGAAUAUUGGACAAUGGGCGCAAGCCUGAUCCAGCCAUCCCGCGUGGGUGAAGAAGGCCUUCCGGUUGUAAAGCCCUUUUGUUGGGAAAGAAAAGCAGCAGGUUAAUACCCCGCUGUUCUGACGGUACCCAAAGAAUAAGCACCGGCUAACUUCGUG